Long non-coding RNA from Humulus lupulus (European hop), 515 nucleotides. RefSeq lists it as uncharacterized. Lineage: Eukaryota; Viridiplantae; Streptophyta; Magnoliopsida; Rosales; Cannabaceae. The record is from RefSeq and is a predicted model, not a curated record. The transcript has 2 exons.
GCAGUCCAUUCUAAGAUGGUUUUGGAAAUAGAGAUACAGAUGAAGUUAGCUACCUUAAGGUCGGAAUUCCACUAGGAAAAAGUUACUAUGCCUGAAAAUGAGCAAAGUCGGAACUGAAAGAGCUUCUUCAGAGCUUUGGAAGGUUGCGGGUUUAGCUGUUGUUUGUGUUAUAUGUUUCACCUCUAAUGCUUUUGCAAGCAGCAAGAGCAACUGAUUAUAGUAUUGGGAGUAAGUUGCUGAUACCUAAACCCCUCCUCUCACUUUUUGGAAACUUGACAGAACGAACAGGGUAGAGUGAUUUCUUUGGAGCAAUUCUUGACAACAUUUGUAGUUGAGGCCUUUAAAAUGGAAGAAUGUAUUUCACUAAUUUUUGUAUACAUUUCUUGUUUUGUAUUUAGUGAUAAAGGAAUCUGAAUUGGGCAUAAAUUAUGUUGUAAUAUGAUUUCUUAAGCCUAGACUAGUAGACUAAAUAUUGUAAUUACAUUUGAGUAAUUAAUAAAAAUCUAUUUAUGUUA